GGACUACACGGGUAUCUAAUCCCGUUUGCUCCCCUGGCUUUCGUGCCUCAGCGUCAGGAAAUGUCCAGAGACUCGCCUUCGCCACUGGUGUUCCACUUGAUAUCUACGCAUUUCACUGCUACACCAAGUAUUCCAGUCUCCCCUCCAUUCCUCUAGUCAGAUAGUUUCCAACGCAGUUUCCGGGUUAGGCCCGGAGAUUUCACGUCAGACUUAAAUGACCGCCUACGCACCCUUUACGCCCAGUGAAUCCGAACAACGCUUGGGACCUCUGUAUUACCGCGGCUGCUGGCAC
Molecule: ribosomal RNA, 292 nt
Filed under: uncultured Verrucomicrobiota bacterium
Lineage: Bacteria; Pseudomonadati; Verrucomicrobiota
Description: uncultured Verrucomicrobia bacterium partial 16S ribosomal RNA
Source: RNAcentral